RNAcentral lists this ribosomal RNA (619 nucleotides) under uncultured bacterium. Its description in RNAcentral is "bacterial SSU rRNA". The stretch from base 1 to 519 matches the Rfam family "Bacterial small subunit ribosomal RNA", at positions 338 to 873 of the family's 1533-position model. The record is from RNAcentral.
CCUACGGGAGGCAGCAGUGGGGAAUAUUGGACAAUGGGCGAAAGCCUGAUCCAGCAAUGCCGCGUGAGUGAUGAAGGCCUUAGGGUUGUAAAGCUCUUUUACCAGGGAUGAUAAUGACAGUACCUGGAGAAUAAGCUCCGGCUAACUCCGUGCCAGCAGCCGCGGUAAUACGGAGGGAGCUAGCGUUGUUCGGAAUUACUGGGCGUAAAGCGUACGUAGGCGGUUAUUCAAGUCAGAGGUGAAAGCCUGGAGCUCAACUCCAGAACUGCCUUUGAAACUAGAUAGCUAGAAUCUUAGGAGAGGUGAGUGGAAUUCCGAGUGUAGAGGUGAAAUUCGUAGAUAUUCGGAAGAACACCAGUGGCGAAGGCGACUCACUGGACAAGUAUUGACGCUGAGGUACGAAAGCGUGGGGAGCAAACAGGAUUAGAUACCCCGGGUAGUCCACGCCGUAAACGAUGAUAACUAGCUGUUCGGCUCUACGAGCUUGAGUGGCGCAGCUACGACAUUAAGUUAUCCGCCGUCGGGAGGUACGGUCGGCGAAGAAGUUAAACGUUAAAGUUAAGUAAGUUAGUUACGGUCGUUGUUAGACGUUGCCGACGGACGACGACGAGGGAGGAGG